AUCGAUGAAGAACGCAGCGAAAUGCGAUAAGUAAUGUGAAUUGCAGAAUUCAGUGAAUCAUCGAAUCUUUGAACGCACAUUGCGCCCCGUGGUAUUCCGCGGGGCAUGCCUGUUCGAGCGUCAUUUCAACCCAUCAAGCUUCUGCUUGGUCUUGGGGCCUGCGGUUUCGCAGCCUCUAAACUCAGUGGCGGUGCUAUUGAGCUCUGAGCGUAGUAAUUUUUUCUCGCUAUAGGGUCUCGGUGGUUACUUGCCAGCAACCCCCAAUUUUUAUCAGGUUGACCUCGGAUCAGGUAGGGAUACCCGCUGAACUUAAGCAUAUCAAUAAGCGGAGGAAAAGAAACCAACAGGGAUUACCUCAGUAACGGCGAGUGAAGCGGUAACAGCUCAAAUUUGAAAUCUGCCGCAAGGCCGAGUUGUAAUUUGUAGAAGAUGCUUUGGGUAUGGCCCCGGUCUAAGUUCGUUGGAACACGACGUCAUAGAGGGUGAGAAUCCCGUAUGUGACUGGGUGCUUUUGCCUAUGUAAAGCUCUUUCGACGAGUCGAGUUGUUUGGGAAUGCAGCUCAAAAUGGGUGGUAUAUUUCAUCUAAAGCUAAAUAUUGGCCAGAGACCGAUAGCGCACAAGUAGAGUGAUCGAAAGAUGAAAAGCACUUUGGAAAGAGAGUUAAACAGUACGUGAAAUUGUUGAAAGGGAAGCGCUUGCAACCAGACUUGCACGCUGUUGAUCAUCCAGGCUUCUGUUUGGUGCACUCAACUGUGUUCAGGCCAGCAUCGGUUUUGGUGGUGGGAUAAAGGCCUUGGGAAUGUAGCUUCUUUCGGGGAGUGUUAUAGCCCUCGGUGCAAUGCCGCCUACCGGGACCGAGGACCGCGCUUCGGCUAGGAUGCUGGCGUAAUGGUUGUAAGCGACCCGUCUUGAAACACGGAAGGGC
Molecule: ribosomal RNA, 926 nt
Filed under: uncultured fungus
Lineage: Eukaryota; Fungi
Description: eukaryotic LSU rRNA
Rfam family: Eukaryotic large subunit ribosomal RNA (bases 277-926)
Source: RNAcentral